UCUCCGUUGGUGAACCAGCGGAGGGAUCAUUACCGAGUUUACAACUUCCAAACCCAAUGUGAACCAUACCAAACUGUUGCCUCGGCGGGGUCACGCCCCGGGUGCGUCGCAGCCCCGGAACCAGGCGCCCGCCGGAGGGACCAACCAAACUCUUUCUGUAGUCCCCUCGCGGACGUUAUUUUUACAGCUCUGAGCAAAAAUUCAAAAUGAAUCAAAACUUUCAACAACGGAUCUCUUGGUUCUG
This 244-nucleotide unclassified non-coding RNA is filed under the name plant metagenome. RNAcentral's name for it is "partial contains small subunit ribosomal RNA, internal transcribed spacer 1, and 5.8S ribosomal RNA". The record is from RNAcentral.